This 770-nucleotide ribosomal RNA is filed under the name uncultured fungus. RNAcentral describes it as "eukaryotic LSU rRNA". The stretch from base 359 to 512 matches the Rfam family "5.8S ribosomal RNA". Lineage: Eukaryota; Fungi. The record is from RNAcentral.
UUGGUCAUUUAGAGGAAGUAAAAGUCGUAACAAGGUUUCCGUAGGUGAACCUGAGGAAGGAUCAUUACUGAGGUUACCGGGGGUGAGUUGCGGGUGGCUAGUUGCUGGCGCCUCCACGGCGCAUGUGCACGGUCCUCAAUUCUCAUCUUCGUUCCUUCUAUCAACCCCUGUGCACUUUAAUGGGAUUAGAGCGAAGCGCGUCGUCUUAGGGAUUUAACCUAGUAGUUGUGGGUCCGCCCGCGGCAAAAGGUUAAUCUUUGAUCGGCGGCUCGUGGUACCUCGAAGUCUCCGUUACUCCAAACUACUAUACAUGUCUUGUCAGAAUGUCUAGUCCUUCAUUGGACGCUAAAUGAAAUACAACUUUCAACAACGGAUCUCUUGGCUCUCGCAUCGAUGAAGAACGCAGCGAAAUGCGAUAAGUAAUGUGAAUUGCAGAAUUCAGUGAAUCAUCGAAUCUUUGAACGCACCUUGCGCCCUUUGGUAUUCCGAAGGGCACGCCUGUUUGAGUGUCAUGUUCAUCUCAAUCCAUCAGCUUUGCGGCUGACUUGGAUUGGAUUUGGGACUCUGCCGGCCCCUUCCCUGGGUCGGCUCUCCUUGAAUGCAUGAGUGAGCAUCUGGCUCGCGUCGCUGGUGUGAUAGUCUUUCAUCAUUGGCGAUGCUUGCCUAACGGGCUUGCUUUCGAACCGUCUUCUCAACGGAGACAAACUUCAUUGACAUAUUUGACCUCAAAUCAGGUGGGACUACCCGCUGAACUUAAGCAUAUCAAUAAG